AACACAGAAAAACUGAAAACAAACAUACACAACAUACUCCUAUGACACAGGAGCUUGAUAUUAUUGCUCCCCCACUAUGCCCACCCAUCCUUGACCCUUUAGUCCAAAUACACUCAAAAAAUUUAAAAAGGGCCCCAAAAAGCCACACUCACUCGCUUACAACGCCUAACCUCCUCUCUCACAAAUAAAAUUUAGCACAACAUAUUAUUUCUUUAGACAAUUAGACAUUAAGCUUAUUUAUUAGAAUCAUUAUCGUUCUCUUAAAACUAAUUUCAACACGAACACAUAAAAAAAACUGGAUUAUUAACACCCGAACGAAAAACAAAAAUUGUGAGUCAAUACUCAGAUUACCUUUUUUUAUUACCCUGCUAGAAGCGCCAAUUUUGGCCAAUACAAGUACUUUAAAUUUCUGCCUAAAGGAGCUCACUUAGACAAAUCUUUUGGGCAUUUCAAAUCCUUGUCCCAAACAGAAAAAUCGAAAUUUUCUAGCUGUAAAAUUUUGAGGCAACCCUACACUCACUAACAAUAAGAUUUAAUGGGCAUUAAUUUUCCUCACAUUUGUAUCUUAAGCACUAUUUAUCUAACUACAAACAAUACGUUUAACUUAUAUACUAAACUACACACUAACAAACAAAUAUUUUUUAUAGCUUCUUUUUUUCUUUUGGUCAAAUUCGGAUUAAUUGAUGAAUUUCAUAUUUUUUUCUUUUUUAUUUCAGUGGUGUUUCCGUCAAAGGAAAAGGAACUUCAUAUGACUUUUUUCAGCGGGAUUUGGCUUUCUUUCUUUUCUUUGAUUUUUAGGUGGGAUCUACUGAUUAGCUUCCCGGAUUGGUACUAUCGCCUGUUCCAAGGGUUAUCCACUGGCAGUUUCCCAGGUCUUUUGGCCGUUUCCAGAACCUUUUCGUUGCCUGGAACCCCUGUGCCGCACCUGGCGAUACAAAAAUAAUUGUUGGGGAUGCCCGCUUCUUUUUCGUCCAAGUCGGAUGGCGUUGUCCAGUUGUGGAUUUAUGCGCGGCGUUAUUCCUAAAUAGAACACAAAAACUUAACACAACACAUCCGACAUAACACCACUUACAAAUCAACACUUACAAAUUGUUUAGAUACGCCACACAAAUAAAACACACAAAUUGUAACUGCCAAUUCAGUAUUUCCUUUUUAUAUUCACAAAAAAACAUUUAAAAAUUGACUGAACUGUUUCUGUUCCACACCACUUUGAAAUAAUGGCGCUUUUCGCCCUCUCUGUGCUUUAUAUACGGCCACCAAGGACGCUCAACCAAACUUUCCCUCUCUUCCAAGAUUUUCCCAUAAUUUCCCUGACAUUUAUUAUUUACCUUUAUCAGGUGUUCUACCUACCCACUAUUAUCCCCAGUGUUGUAUUUUUGCAACACAUCUCUCAUGUUGUACAAUACACAACAUGAAACUUGGCAUCACUUUUUAAAAUUUAGCCGGCCGCCCUGCGUAUCCGGUUCUCUUUUUUGGCUGGCGUUCAGCACGUUCGGUGCAUUAAAUUGCACAUUAUAAAAAUUUUACAAUGAGGAUGAACGCAACAAAACUUCACCACUUUAGAAAAAAAAUUAAAAAAAAAGUGGUGAUGUGCGUGAAUCCUUACAUCCAGUCGUAGACGGAAUAUAAAAUUGUGGAUUUAAGUAAGUUUCUCCUUUUUUUUUCGCCACCACCAUCUCGCGUGGAAUGACUACGCGACCAAACCAAAUUUCUUGUGUUUCAUUUUAUUCCUUCGGACAAAGACAAAUCAAAAAAAAUGCCAUGUUCAUUCUUGGGAGUCUCAUGUGUAAGUAUGUGUGUGUGCAGGCACGCUGCAUCCAUUGAAAAAAAAUUCCAUGCACACACACAUGCACGAAGUAGUUGCAGUCGUGUAAACGCACAUGAAGGGUGCGCAACGCCGUUCAUUCACCUACAUCGCCCAUUCAUGCCGUUUGUCGAUUUAUAAAUCCCUAUGCGACUUUGCCGUGUAUUGUUGCAGCUCAUUCAUCGGAAUCGGACAAACCAAAAACAGAAAUUUGGCGAAGUUGCACGCACUCAUCAAACAAUUUAUAACCAGGUCUCUAUAUUGUGCAGGUAAACGACCAUGGUUGUGUAUAAAAAUAAAGUGCAAGUGAUAUUUAAAAUUGGCAGUGCAUCUGCCUGAAACUUAUUUGUGCGUUAUGAAAAAAGUAUAAAAUUAAAUUUAAACAACAAAAAUAGGAUAUCCAAACGGCUUCAAAUCGCUGCAUAAGGAGUAAACUGCUGAUUGGCGUAUUUCAAGAACAUAAUUCAGUGGUGUUUCCGUCAAAGGAAAAGGAACUUCAUAUGACUUUUUUCAGCGGGAUUUGGCUUUCUUUCUUUUCUUUGAUUUUUAGGUGGGAUCUACUGAUUAGCUUCCCGGAUUGGUACUAUCGCCUGUUCCAAGGGUUAUCCACUGGCAGUUUCCCAGGUCUUUUGGCCGUUUCCAGAACCUUUUCGUUGCCUGGAACCCCUGUGCCGCACCUGGCGAUACAAAAAUAAUUGUUGGGGAUGCCCGCUUCUUUUUCGUCCAAGUCGGAUGGCGUUGUCCAGUUGUGGAUUUAUGCGCGGCGUUAUUCCUAAAUAGAACACAAAAACUUAACACAACACAUCCGACAUAACACCACUUACAAAUCAACACUUACAAAUUGUUUAGAUACGCCACACAAAUAAAACACACAAAUUGUAACUGCCAAUUCA
Long non-coding RNA from Musca domestica (house fly), 2697 nucleotides. RefSeq lists it as uncharacterized. The transcript has 7 exons. The record is from RefSeq and is a predicted model, not a curated record. NCBI's taxonomy places the organism in Eukaryota, Metazoa, Arthropoda, Insecta, Diptera, Muscidae.